RNAcentral lists this ribosomal RNA (253 nucleotides) under uncultured bacterium. Its description in RNAcentral is "partial 16S ribosomal RNA". It matches the Rfam family "Bacterial small subunit ribosomal RNA", at positions 524 to 776 of the family's 1533-position model. The record is from RNAcentral.
UACGUAGGGGGCAAGCGUUGUCCGGAUUUAUUGGGCGUAAAGAGCGUGUAGGCGGUCCGGUAAGUCCGCUGUGAAAGUCGGGGGCUCAACCCUCGAAUGCCGGUGGAUACUGUCGGGCUAGAGUGCGGAAGAGGCGAGUGGAAUUCCUGGUGUAGCGGUGAAAUGCGCAGAUAUCAGGAGGAACACCUAUUGCGAAGGCAGCUCGCUGGGACGGUACUGACGCUGAGACGCGAAAGCGUGGGGAGCGAACAGG